GGUGGUAUGGUCUAGUGGUAUGACGUCACGUUGUGGUCCCCUGUCUGCAAUCCCGUGCCAGCCUGGGUUCGAUUCCCAGUACCGCCA
This is a non-coding RNA of Aulographum hederae CBS 113979, 87 nucleotides long. The record is from the annotation of a GenBank genome assembly. Lineage: Eukaryota; Fungi; Ascomycota; Dothideomycetes; Aulographales; Aulographaceae.